RNAcentral lists this ribosomal RNA (2615 nucleotides) under Escherichia coli 6-537-08_S4_C2. RNAcentral's name for it is "bacterial LSU rRNA". It matches the Rfam family "Bacterial large subunit ribosomal RNA", at positions 326 to 2925 of the family's 2925-position model. Lineage: Bacteria; Pseudomonadati; Pseudomonadota; Gammaproteobacteria; Enterobacterales; Enterobacteriaceae. The record is from RNAcentral.
GUGUUAGUGGAAGCGUCUGGAAAGGCGCGCGAUACAGGGUGACAGCCCCGUACACAAAAAUGCACAUGCUGUGAGCUCGAUGAGUAGGGCGGGACACGUGGUAUCCUGUCUGAAUAUGGGGGGACCAUCCUCCAAGGCUAAAUACUCCUGACUGACCGAUAGUGAACCAGUACCGUGAGGGAAAGGCGAAAAGAACCCCGGCGAGGGGAGUGAAAAAGAACCUGAAACCGUGUACGUACAAGCAGUGGGAGCACGCUUAGGCGUGUGACUGCGUACCUUUUGUAUAAUGGGUCAGCGACUUAUAUUCUGUAGCAAGGUUAACCGAAUAGGGGAGCCGAAGGGAAACCGAGUCUUAACUGGGCGUUAAGUUGCAGGGUAUAGACCCGAAACCCGGUGAUCUAGCCAUGGGCAGGUUGAAGGUUGGGUAACACUAACUGGAGGACCGAACCGACUAAUGUUGAAAAAUUAGCGGAUGACUUGUGGCUGGGGGUGAAAGGCCAAUCAAACCGGGAGAUAGCUGGUUCUCCCCGAAAGCUAUUUAGGUAGCGCCUCGUGAACUCAUCUCCGGGGGUAGAGCACUGUUUCGGCAAGGGGGUCAUCCCGACUUACCAACCCGAUGCAAACUGCGAAUACCGGAGAAUGUUAUCACGGGAGACACACGGCGGGUGCUAACGUCCGUCGUGAAGAGGGAAACAACCCAGACCGCCAGCUAAGGUCCCAAAGUCAUGGUUAAGUGGGAAACGAUGUGGGAAGGCCCAGACAGCCAGGAUGUUGGCUUAGAAGCAGCCAUCAUUUAAAGAAAGCGUAAUAGCUCACUGGUCGAGUCGGCCUGCGCGGAAGAUGUAACGGGGCUAAACCAUGCACCGAAGCUGCGGCAGCGACGCUUAUGCGUUGUUGGGUAGGGGAGCGUUCUGUAAGCCUGUGAAGGUGUACUGUGAGGUAUGCUGGAGGUAUCAGAAGUGCGAAUGCUGACAUAAGUAACGAUAAAGCGGGUGAAAAGCCCGCUCGCCGGAAGACCAAGGGUUCCUGUCCAACGUUAAUCGGGGCAGGGUGAGUCGACCCCUAAGGCGAGGCCGAAAGGCGUAGUCGAUGGGAAACAGGUUAAUAUUCCUGUACUUGGUGUUACUGCGAAGGGGGGACGGAGAAGGCUAUGUUGGCCGGGCGACGGUUGUCCCGGUUUAAGCGUGUAGGCUGGUUUUCCAGGCAAAUCCGGAAAAUCAAGGCUGAGGCGUGAUGACGAGGCACUACGGUGCUGAAGCAACAAAUGCCCUGCUUCCAGGAAAAGCCUCUAAGCAUCAGGUAACAUCAAAUCGUACCCCAAACCGACACAGGUGGUCAGGUAGAGAAUACCAAGGCGCUUGAGAGAACUCGGGUGAAGGAACUAGGCAAAAUGGUGCCGUAACUUCGGGAGAAGGCACGCUGAUAUGUAGGUGAAGCGACUUGCUCGUGGAGCUGAAAUCAGUCGAAGAUACCAGCUGGCUGCAACUGUUUAUUAAAAACACAGCACUGUGCAAACACGAAAGUGGACGUAUACGGUGUGACGCCUGCCCGGUGCCGGAAGGUUAAUUGAUGGGGUCAGCGCAAGCGAAGCUCUUGAUCGAAGCCCCGGUAAACGGCGGCCGUAACUAUAACGGUCCUAAGGUAGCGAAAUUCCUUGUCGGGUAAGUUCCGACCUGCACGAAUGGCGUAAUGAUGGCCAGGCUGUCUCCACCCGAGACUCAGUGAAAUUGAACUCGCUGUGAAGAUGCAGUGUACCCGCGGCAAGACGGAAAGACCCCGUGAACCUUUACUAUAGCUUGACACUGAACAUUGAGCCUUGAUGUGUAGGAUAGGUGGGAGGCUUUGAAGUGUGGACGCCAGUCUGCAUGGAGCCGACCUUGAAAUACCACCCUUUAAUGUUUGAUGUUCUAACGUUGACCCGUAAUCCGGGUUGCGGACAGUGUCUGGUGGGUAGUUUGACUGGGGCGGUCUCCUCCUAAAGAGUAACGGAGGAGCACGAAGGUUGGCUAAUCCUGGUCGGACAUCAGGAGGUUAGUGCAAUGGCAUAAGCCAGCUUGACUGCGAGCGUGACGGCGCGAGCAGGUGCGAAAGCAGGUCAUAGUGAUCCGGUGGUUCUGAAUGGAAGGGCCAUCGCUCAACGGAUAAAAGGUACUCCGGGGAUAACAGGCUGAUACCGCCCAAGAGUUCAUAUCGACGGCGGUGUUUGGCACCUCGAUGUCGGCUCAUCACAUCCUGGGGCUGAAGUAGGUCCCAAGGGUAUGGCUGUUCGCCAUUUAAAGUGGUACGCGAGCUGGGUUUAGAACGUCGUGAGACAGUUCGGUCCCUAUCUGCCGUGGGCGCUGGAGAACUGAGGGGGGCUGCUCCUAGUACGAGAGGACCGGAGUGGACGCAUCACUGGUGUUCGGGUUGUCAUGCCAAUGGCACUGCCCGGUAGCUAAAUGCGGAAGAGAUAAGUGCUGAAAGCAUCUAAGCACGAAACUUGCCCCGAGAUGAGUUCUCCCUGACCCUUUAAGGGUCCUGAAGGAACGUUGAAGACGACGACGUUGAUAGGCCGGGUGUGUAAGCGCAGCGAUGCGUUGAGCUAACCGGUACUAAUGAACCGUGAGGCUUAACCU